Molecule: ribosomal RNA, 374 nt
Filed under: uncultured organism
Description: bacterial SSU rRNA
Rfam family: Bacterial small subunit ribosomal RNA
Source: RNAcentral
CGUAGGGGGCAAGCGUUGUCCGGAUUCAUUGGGCGUAAAGAGCUCGUAGGCGGUUCGGUAAGUCGGGUGUGAAAUCUCCGUGCUCAACACGGAGCGGCCACCUGAUACUGCCGUGACUCGAGUCCGGUAGGGGAGUGUGGAAUUCCCGGUGUAGCGGUGAAAUGCGCAGAUAUCGGGAGGAACACCAGUAGCGAAGGCGGCACUCUGGGCCGUGACUGACGCUGAGGAGCGAAAGCGUGGGUAGCAAACAGGAUUAGAUACCCUGGUAGUCCACGCCGUAAACGUUGGGCACUAGGUGUGGGUCUCUAUCGACGGGAUCCGUGCCGUAGCUAACGCAUUAAGUGCCCCGCCUGGGGAGUACGGCCGCAAGGCUA